GAUGAACGCUGGCGGCGUGCCUAAUACAUGCAAGUCGAGCGAACGGACGAGAAGCUUGCUCCUCUGAUGUUAGCGGCUGACGGGCGAGUAACACGUGGAUAACCUACCUCUAAUACUGGGAUAACUUCGGGAAACCGGAGCUAAUACCGGAUAAUAUUUUGAACCGCAUGGUUCAAAAGUGAAUGACGGUCUUGCUGUCACUUUUAGAUGGAUCCGCGCUGCAUUAGCUAGUUGGUAAGGUAACGGCUUACCAAGGCAACGAUGCAUAGCUGACCUGAGAGGGUGAUCAGCCACACUGGAACUGAGACACGGUCCAGACUCCUACGGGAGGCAGCAGUAGGGAAUCUUCCGCAAUGGGCGAAAGCCUGACGGAGCAACGCCGCGUGAGUGAUGAAGGUCUUCGGGUCGUAAAACUCUGUUAUUAGGGAAGAACAUAUGUGUAAGUAACUGUGCACAUCUUGACGGUACCUAAUCAGAAAGCCACGGCUAACUACGUG
RNAcentral lists this ribosomal RNA (497 nucleotides) under uncultured bacterium. RNAcentral describes it as "partial 16S ribosomal RNA". It matches the Rfam family "Bacterial small subunit ribosomal RNA", at positions 28 to 507 of the family's 1533-position model. The record is from RNAcentral.